Molecule: unclassified non-coding RNA, 352 nt
Filed under: soil metagenome
Description: partial contains 5.8S ribosomal RNA, internal transcribed spacer 2, and large subunit ribosomal RNA
Rfam family: 5.8S ribosomal RNA (bases 1-120)
Source: RNAcentral
GAUGAAGAACGUAGCGAAAUGCGAUAAGUAAUGUGAAUUGCAGAAUUCAGUGAAUCAUCGAAUCUUUGAACGCACAUUGCGCCCGCCAGUAUUCUGGCGGGCAUGCCUGUUCGAGCGUCAUUACAACCCUCAGGCCCCCGGGCCUGGCGUUGGGGAUCGGCGGAAGCCCCCUGUGGGCACACGCCGUCCCUCAAAUACAGUGGCGGUCCCGCCGCAGCUUCCAUUGCGUAGUAGCUAACACCUCGCAACUGGAGAGCGGCGCGGCCAUGCCGUAAAACAACCAACUUCUGAAUGUUGACCUCGAAUCAGGUAGGAAUACCCGCUGAACUUAAGCAUAUCAAUAAGCGGAGGA